This 518-nucleotide ribosomal RNA is filed under the name Escherichia coli. Its description in RNAcentral is "partial 23S ribosomal RNA". It matches the Rfam family "Bacterial large subunit ribosomal RNA", at positions 1 to 559 of the family's 2925-position model. Lineage: Bacteria; Pseudomonadati; Pseudomonadota; Gammaproteobacteria; Enterobacterales; Enterobacteriaceae. RNAcentral also lists the same sequence under 2 other names. The record is from RNAcentral.
GUUAAGCGACUAAGCGUACACGGUGGAUGCCCUGGCAGUCAGAGGCGAUGAAGGACGUGCUAAUCUGCGAUAAGCGUCGGUAAGGUGAUAUGAACCGUUAUAACCGGCGAUUUCCGAAUGGGGAAACCCAGUGUGUUUCGACACACUAUCAUUAACUGAAUCCAUAGGUUAAUGAGGCGAACCGGGGGAACUGAAACAUCUAAGUACCCCGAGGAAAAGAAAUCAACCGAGAUUCCCCCAGUAGCGGCGAGCGAACGGGGAGCAGCCCAGAGCCUGAAUCAGUGUGUGUGUUAGUGGAAGCGUCUGGAAAGGCGCGCGAUACAGGGUGACAGCCCCGUACACAAAAAUGCACAUGCUGUGAGCUCGAUGAGUAGGGCGGGACACGUGGUAUCCUGUCUGAAUAUGGGGGGACCAUCCUCCAAGGCUAAAUACUCCUGACUGACCGAUAGUGAACCAGUACCGUGAGGGAAAGGCGAAAAGAACCCCGGCGAGGGGAGUGAAAAAGAACCUGAAACCGU